RNAcentral lists this long non-coding RNA (236 nucleotides) under Trifolium pratense (red clover). Its description in RNAcentral is "long non-coding RNA (TPRA_LNC009226)". The record is from RNAcentral. Lineage: Eukaryota; Viridiplantae; Streptophyta; Magnoliopsida; Fabales; Fabaceae.
UUUAUGGCCGAGUAUUUUAUUUUUAGUUUAUAACAUUUACCUUCCGUUCGGCAUGAUUCAAUUUGGAUAAAGAAAUUGACCUUUACAUUAAAUAUGGUUGUAGGUACCAAAGGUGAAAUAUGAAGUGAUGUGUUGCUUGUACGUGCGCGGGGCUAAACAAAUCUGGGUUUUAUAAAUUUGUAAUUUAAAUGAAAUAUUCUUUUUAUUGUACAAAGAUUAUUUAUAAGCUUAAGUAA